CCCCGCACAAGCAGCGGAGCGUGUGGUUUAAUUCGAUGCUACACGAAGAACCUUUACCAGGGCUUGACAUCCCUUGAAGCAGCUAGAGAUAGCUGUGUCCUUCGGGACAAGGAGACAGGUGGUGCAUGGUUGUCGUCAGCUCGUGUCGUGAGAUGUUGGGUUAAGUCCCGCAACGAGCGCAACCCCUAUUGUUAGUUGCCAUCAUUCAGUUGGGCACUCUAGCGAGACUGCCGGUAAUAAACCGGAGGAAGGUGGGAUGACGUCAAAUCAUCAUGCCCCUUAUGACCUGGGCUACACACGUGCUACAAUGGUUGGUACAACGAGUUGCGAGUCGGUGACGGCGAGCUAAUCUCUUAAAGCCAAUCUCAGUUCGGAUUGUAGGCUGCAACUCGCCUACAUGAAGUCGGAAUCGCUAGUAAUCGCGGAUCAGCACGCCGCGGUGAAUACAUUCCCGGGCCUU
This 460-nucleotide ribosomal RNA is filed under the name uncultured Streptococcus sp. Its description in RNAcentral is "bacterial SSU rRNA". It matches the Rfam family "Bacterial small subunit ribosomal RNA", at positions 920 to 1378 of the family's 1533-position model. The record is from RNAcentral. Lineage: Bacteria; Bacillati; Bacillota; Bacilli; Lactobacillales; Streptococcaceae.